Molecule: ribosomal RNA, 253 nt
Filed under: uncultured bacterium
Lineage: Bacteria
Description: partial 16S ribosomal RNA
Rfam family: Bacterial small subunit ribosomal RNA
Source: RNAcentral
UACGUAGGGUGCGAGCGUUGUCCGGAAUUACUGGGAGUAAAGAGCUCGUAGGUGGUUUGUCGCGUUGUUCGUGAAAACUCACAGCUUAACUGUGGGCGUGCGGGCGAUACGGGCAGACUGGAGUACUGCAGGGGAGACUGGAAUUCCUGGUGUAGCGGUGGAAUGCGCAGAUAUCAGGAGGAACACCGGUGGCGAAGGCGGGUCUCUGGGCAGUAACUGACGCUGAGGAGCGAAAGCGUGGGGAGCGAACAGG